RNAcentral lists this small RNA (115 nucleotides) under Lyngbya confervoides. Its description in RNAcentral is "Guanidine-I sequence". It matches the Rfam family "Guanidine-I riboswitch aptamer". Rfam says of the family: This family represents a conserved RNA structure found upstream of the ykkC and yxkD genes in Bacillus subtilis and related genes in other bacteria. The function of this family is unclear although it has been suggested that it may function to switch on efflux pumps and detoxification systems in response to harmful environmental molecules. Nelson showed that this riboswitch senses and responds to guanidine and it was renamed Guanidine-I riboswitch. The record is from RNAcentral. RNAcentral also lists the same sequence under 1 other name. Lineage: Bacteria; Bacillati; Cyanobacteriota; Cyanophyceae; Oscillatoriales; Microcoleaceae.
GAACUUAGCGUCUAGGGUUCCGGCUUGGUUGAUUUAACAAGUGUCUGGUCCGAGAGAUGCAGUUAGGCUUUUGUUAAUCAAGCCUAAUUCACGGAGGGAUAAAAGCCCGGGAGGA